This 329-nucleotide unclassified non-coding RNA is filed under the name soil metagenome. RNAcentral's name for it is "partial contains 5.8S ribosomal RNA, internal transcribed spacer 2, and large subunit ribosomal RNA". The stretch from base 1 to 120 matches the Rfam family "5.8S ribosomal RNA", at positions 35 to 154 of the family's 154-position model. The record is from RNAcentral.
GAUGAAGAACGUAGCGAAAUGCGAUAAGUAAUGUGAAUUGCAGAAUUCAGUGAAUCAUCGAAUCUUUGAACGCACAUUGCGCCUCCUGGUAUUCCGGGGGGCAUGCCUGUCCGAGCGUCAUUACAACCCUCAAGCUCAGCUUGGUGUUGGGCCCCGCCGCCCCGGCGGGCCCUAAAGUCAGUGGCGGUGCCGUCCGGCUCCGAGCGUAGUAAUUCUUCUCGCUAUGGAGGUCCGGUCGUGUGCUCGCCAGCAACCCCCAAUUUUUUUCAGGUUGACCUCGGAUCAGGUAGGGAUACCCGCUGAACUUAAGCAUAUCAAUAAGCGGAGGA